UGAUUGAGGUGUCAUUUGGGUUUUUUACACUGUUGUGUAUCAAAACGACGCUACUUUUGUUGGAUAAAUUAAAAAAUUAGUUUAAAGAUAGAGUUUUCACCUUCGUUUAAUAAGAUCGCUGCCUUUGUAUCAAAUAACGCUACCUUCGUUUUGGUAAUAAUGUAAAGUUUAUUUAAGAGGAUGGGUCAAUGGGAACAACGUUUCCUUUUUCUUAUCCUUCGUACCUGCACCUACCUCCUGCUUCACAUACCACCUAGUGUGCGCUAACUGUCUUCAUCAAUAUCCUUCGUCGUUAAUCCCUCUAGGUACGUACCAUUGUUGGGUCCGGCUACCUACGCCUUUCUCAAUACUGCCUCAUUAGUUAAUCUCUUCGCUUAAUUGAAUGGGCCUCGUUGAUCGAUGAUGUAGCCUGCAAGUAGUACGUAAGCUAGACUGCCGGAUCGUGAUCAGACUAUUUUCGGUUUUGAGAUCACUACGGGAAUGUAGUAGUACUGGGUGCAUGCUAUUGAUUAUAUCUAGCCAUUGAUUAUUCAUAUAUUCGUUACCUUCUAACUCUACGUACUAAUAAAAAGUAAUAAUAAUGAUUCUAUCUAUCCUAUCGAUCGCAGUGCCUACUCACGUGCAUGCAUGCACCAUGCACCUAGCCACCUGCGUACGUAGUACACGUACACGUACUUAAAAGCCACCUACUUCGUGCAUUACAUGCAUGCGCGCACGUGUUUCUGCGCAGCAACAAGAUAACGACCGACUGCAUGAACAGCUUCUACGUCGUGCCGGUUCCGCCGUCGUCGACCAACUACUACGACGUGUACUAGCUACGGCAGGAACGGGAUCAGCCCAGCUAACCUAGCCUAGCCACCGCUGUGGCUCCUGCUCCUCGAUCGAGUAGGGCUCCGACGGCAGGCAGUGCAAGCGGCUGGACAUCCGCCUCUAGUUGCCCAAGUUCACCGCUCGACAAGGAGAGCGGCCUCUCCUUCCUCUGCUACCUCUGCAGUACCAGAGCACAGUUACCAAACUAAAGGCCCUCUCCCUUUGCGUCAAAGACCGCCCGUUACGUGCCGUAGACCGCGGUUUUGCGAAGAGAGCAAGGGUGGUGUUGAAAACCUCCGUUUAAAAUAGACAGAUAUAUAUAUGUGCUACUAGCUAGGUUGUGGAAGUCGAGGUGUUGUGUUGGUGGGUGGACACAGUGUACCGCGGAUAAGUGCAGAGGAGGAGCCUCCAGUAGGAGGACCUGCUGUCGCUGCUGCUCCUCGACGAACCAUACUUGUAGCGACUGCACUGGAGCGAACUGCUGGAACUGAAGAGGCUGCUGCCGGGGCCGUUGUUCUUCUGUACACGACACCUGUUAUGGAGGAGAGUUCUACGACGACAACUGCAGCUGUUAAUGAGGUGGUUUAGGUUGCCGGAACGUAAGAAUCUGGUGCUGCCCGUGUCUACGCUUUUCCGGCUGCUGCAACAACAAUAGAGGAGGAGGCCGCUACUCCUCAGUCGACGACUGUAGCCGCGGUACCUGAGGUUAUCACCGUUUAGCAAACAGAGGCAGCUGAGUUUAAGUUAUUCGUUCUUCUUCGCCCCCGGUUCCGGGGUCAUGUUGAUGACCGUGAAGUUGCUGCUCACGGUUUAUUAACUACGGCUACCCUACGAGGCUUCCUUCUUCUUUAUGUUUCCGCCCCUGCAUGGCCACGGCCGCGAGUAUGUCUUCAAUUUUUUCCCGGGCAGUGGGUAGUAGAUGCAGUGGGUAGUAGAUGGCACCACUUGAAUCACACAGGGCACAAGCGCCCUUUGCCUCUGUAAACUACUUAUUCAAAGCACUCCGCCAUUUCUACCCGCUGUUGAUGUUUGGUGAGUUGUACGUACUAGUUCUGGAGAUGCUGGCAAGGUAACGCCGCACCGGUGUAUAAUAACUUCUUCUUCGAUCAUGGUACGUGCUAGUGCUUAUUAUAUCUAUAUCAAAUAUGAUCCUUUUUCCGGGGACUCAACGUUGUCCUAAAAAAAGGGGAUGUAGUAGGAUAAUUUUCUCUAUCUCCGAGUAAGUACCAGUUACAUUACACACAAAGCUGUGCCUACGGA
Molecule: ribosomal RNA, 2070 nt
Filed under: Triticum aestivum (bread wheat)
Lineage: Eukaryota; Viridiplantae; Streptophyta; Magnoliopsida; Poales; Poaceae
Description: partial small subunit ribosomal RNA
Source: RNAcentral